CUGGACAUUUCCAAUGAGUUCAGUGAAGCGACGAUACGCUUUUCAAGUAUAAGCCUACCUAACAAAUUGACUUCACGAUGAUGAACCUUUCAUCAAUGUGUGUUUUCGUCCUCCUGCUCUCGGUUGCUACAGCCUCAUCGGAGGAUGAGUUUGAGCCUGGCUGCGAGGACAACGGUGUCAGCUAUGAUGUCUUCGAUACCUACACUCCAGCUGACGACACCUGUAAUUACUGUGACUGUACGAUCGCUGGGCCUCUUUGCAGUCGGAAAACUUGUGAGGAUGUCUUGGCUGGGUGCAACGACUCAUCGGUCAGGGGCCCAUGCUGCGCAGAGUGUGGAUGGGUCAAAGGUCCCAACUGAUACCUCAAUCUAAUCUUCCUCAACCUCGGAGCCUGGGGAUUCCUGCUAUCGGCCCCACGAGAAGGAGGACUGCAGAACAUACAUGAGCAUUAAAGGCUAUUAUACUGCCAGCUGCCAAAUGAGCUGCAUCCCAUCACUGCAUCGGCAAUAAGGAAUUUUUGAUGCAUAAAUGGCUGUGUGUUGCCAAUGUAUGAAAUGGAUGUAAUUAAAGGGGACAGAUUAUA
Gadus morhua (Atlantic cod) is the source of this 583-nucleotide long non-coding RNA. RefSeq lists it as uncharacterized. Lineage: Eukaryota; Metazoa; Chordata; Actinopteri; Gadiformes; Gadidae. The record is from RefSeq and is a predicted model, not a curated record. The transcript has 2 exons.